AAUGAGUUUUAUACAAGUCUUCUAAAUUUGUUUUAGGAUUAUCCUGCUCAUUU
Molecule: transfer RNA, 53 nt
Filed under: Ancylostoma ceylanicum
Lineage: Eukaryota; Metazoa; Nematoda; Chromadorea; Rhabditida; Ancylostomatidae
Description: tRNA-Ser1
Source: RNAcentral